CGAGAAGGCAAGGGGAGGUGUCUGCUAAAGAGGAUGGAGAGAGAGAUGGAGGUGUCUGCUAAAGGGGAUGGAGAUGGAGGUGUCUGCUAAAGAGGAUGGAGAGGAUGGAGAGAGAGAUGGAGGUGUCUGCUAAAGGGGAUGGAGGUGGAGGUGUCUGCUGUAGAGUUCCAUCUUUUCAUGUCUAGUGAUGAGAAGAGGAGGAAGAGCUGAGAUGAGGAGGAGAUGAGGAGGAGGAGGAAAAGGAGAUGAGGAACAGCUGAGGAAGCAGAGGAGGAGAUGAGGUGAGAUGAGGAAGAGGAGGAAUAAAGAGGAAGAUGAGGUGAGAUGAGGAAGAGGAGGAAUAAAGAGGAAGAUGGGGUGAUAA
Clupea harengus (Atlantic herring) is the source of this 364-nucleotide long non-coding RNA. The record is from Ensembl. NCBI's taxonomy places the organism in Eukaryota, Metazoa, Chordata, Actinopteri, Clupeiformes, Clupeidae.